CCUACGGGAGGCAGCAGUAAGGAAUAUUGGUCAAUGGACGAAAGUCUGAACCAGCCAUGCCGCGUGAAGGAUGAAGGCCCUCUGGGUUGUAAACUUCUUUUAUCUGGGACGAAAAAAGCUCAUUCUUGAGCACUUGACGGUACCAGAGGAAUAAGCACCGGCUAACUCCGUGCCAGCAGCCGCGGUAAUACGGAGGGUGCAAGCGUUAUCCGGAUUCACUGGGUUUAAAGGGUGCGUAGGUGGGUUUGUAAGUCAGUGGUGAAAUCUCCGAGCUUAACUCGGAAACUGCCAUUGAUACUAUAGAUCUUGAAUCAUCUGGAGGUAAGCGGAAUAUGUCAUGUAGCGGUGAAAUGCUUAGAUAUGACAUAGAACACCAAUUGCGAAGGCAGCUUACUACGGGUGCAUUGACACUGAGGCACGAAAGCGUGGGGAUCAAACAGGAUUAGAUACCCUGGUAGUCCACGCCCUAAACGAUGGAUACUCGACAUCAGCGAUACACUGUUGGUGUCUGNGNGAAGAGAUAGUAUCCUACCGUGGUUAGUUACGACGCGAGUAGAAGACGAGAGUUAGAGNGNGAGAGNGCGAGCGACGACGAGGAGGAGG
RNAcentral lists this ribosomal RNA (603 nucleotides) under uncultured bacterium. RNAcentral's name for it is "bacterial SSU rRNA". The stretch from base 1 to 533 matches the Rfam family "Bacterial small subunit ribosomal RNA", at positions 338 to 873 of the family's 1533-position model. The record is from RNAcentral.